RNAcentral lists this ribosomal RNA (490 nucleotides) under uncultured bacterium. RNAcentral's name for it is "partial 16S ribosomal RNA". It matches the Rfam family "Bacterial small subunit ribosomal RNA", at positions 30 to 507 of the family's 1533-position model. The record is from RNAcentral.
AUUGAACGCUGGCGGCAGGCUUAACACAUGCAAGUCGAGCGGUAGCACAGGGGAGCUUGCUCCCUGGGUGACGAGCGGCGGACGGGUGAGUAAUGUCUGGGAAACUGCCUGAUGGAGGGGGAUAACUACUGGAAACGGUAGCUAAUACCGCAUAACGUCGCAAGACCAAAGAGGGGGACCUUCGGGCCUCUUGCCAUCAGAUAUGCCCAGAUGGGAUUAGCUAGUAGGUGGGGUAAUGGCUCACCUAGGCGACGAUCCCUAGCUGGUCUGAGAGGAUGACCAGCCACACUGGAACUGAGACACGGUCCAGACUCCUACGGGAGGCAGCAGUGGGGAAUAUUGGACAAUGGGCGCAAGCCUGAUGCAGCCAUGCCGCGUGUGUGAAGAAGGCCUUCGGGUUGUAAAGCACUUUCAGCGAGGAGGAAGGGGGUGAGCUUAAUACGUUCAUCAAUUGACGGUACUCGAAGAAGAAGCACCGGCUAACUCCGUG